This 417-nucleotide ribosomal RNA is filed under the name uncultured bacterium. RNAcentral's name for it is "bacterial SSU rRNA". It matches the Rfam family "Archaeal small subunit ribosomal RNA", at positions 455 to 871 of the family's 1478-position model. The record is from RNAcentral.
UUGUCACCAGUAGAGGUAAAACCGGAAGCUCGAGUGGUAGCCGCGUUUAUUGGGCCUAAAGCGUCCGUAGCCGGUCCGAUAAGUCUCUGGUGAAAGCCCGCAGCUUAACUGUGGGAAUCGCUGGAGAUACUAUCGGACUUGAGGCCGGGAGAGGCUGGAGGUACUCCCAGGGUAGGGGUGAAAUCCUAUAAUCCUGGGAGGACCACCUGUGGCGAAGGCGUCCAGCUGGAACGGACCUGACGGUGAGGGACGAAAGCCAGGGGCGCGAACCGGAUUAGAUACCCGGGUAGUCCUGGCCGUAAACGAUGCGGACUUGGUGUUGGGACGGCUUUGAGCUGUCCCAGUGCCGAAGGGAAGCUGUUAAGUCCGCCGCCUGGGAAGUACGCCCGCAAGGCUGAAACUUAAAGAAAUUGACGG